AAGCUCCCUAAAGGGUCGUUGGAGACUACAACGUUGAUAGGUUGGGUGUGGAAGUGCUGCGAGGCAUUGAGCUAACCAAUACUAAUUACCCGUGAGGCUUAACCAUACAACACCCAAGUAGUU
RNAcentral lists this ribosomal RNA (123 nucleotides) under Colwellia sp. BRX10-3. Its description in RNAcentral is "partial 23S ribosomal RNA". The stretch from base 1 to 106 matches the Rfam family "Bacterial large subunit ribosomal RNA", at positions 2820 to 2925 of the family's 2925-position model. Lineage: Bacteria; Pseudomonadati; Pseudomonadota; Gammaproteobacteria; Alteromonadales; Colwelliaceae. The record is from RNAcentral.